UAGCCGUAAACGAUACUCGCUAGGUGUCGGCCACGGUGCGACCGUUGUCGGUGCCGUAGGGAAGCCGUGAAGCGAGCCACCUGGGAAGUACGGCCGCAAGGCUGAAACUUAAAGGAAUUGGCGGGGGAGGCACCGCAACGGGAGGAGCGUGCGGUUCAAUUGGAUUCAACGCCGGACAACUCACCAGGAGCGACGGUUACAUGAAGGCCAGGCUGAUGACCUUGCCUGAUUUUCCGUAGAGGUGGUGCAUGGCGUAGUCGUGU
RNAcentral lists this ribosomal RNA (263 nucleotides) under uncultured archaeon. Its description in RNAcentral is "partial 16S ribosomal RNA". It matches the Rfam family "Archaeal small subunit ribosomal RNA", at positions 748 to 1009 of the family's 1478-position model. The record is from RNAcentral.